CGGAGAUCCACCUGCUUCUGCUCCCCACACCUGGCUAGGAAGAAUAGGUUUGUGUGAAGGUGACAAGUCCCAUUUUGGACAUGAUGAGUUCAAGUUCAGUGUUGGCCAUCUAUGGAGAGCUCGGCCACUGUCAACCAUAACACACAGGAAAAUCCAGAAUGGCAGGAAGAGCUGUGCUGACAACUGUGAGACUUCUGAGAUCAGAG
Molecule: long non-coding RNA, 206 nt
Filed under: Cricetulus griseus (Chinese hamster)
Lineage: Eukaryota; Metazoa; Chordata; Mammalia; Rodentia; Cricetidae
Description: lncRNA (ENSCGRG00000026046.1)
Source: RNAcentral